GUGCCGGUAGUCGGCCGGGGCCUGCGCCGGGUCGCCGGUGCCGGCCCCCUGCGGGGUGCCCAGCAGCGGCACGCCCAGGUCGUGCCCGGCCAGC
This 94-nucleotide transfer RNA is filed under the name Micromonospora sp. AKA109. RNAcentral describes it as "tRNA-Thr". The record is from RNAcentral. Lineage: Bacteria; Bacillati; Actinomycetota; Actinomycetes; Micromonosporales; Micromonosporaceae.